RNAcentral lists this small nuclear RNA (105 nucleotides) under Sorex araneus (European shrew). The record is from RNAcentral. Lineage: Eukaryota; Metazoa; Chordata; Mammalia; Eulipotyphla; Soricidae.
GUCCUCACUCAGGCAACACAUAUAACAAAAGUUGGAAUGAUAAAGAGAAGACGGGCAUGGAUCCAUGCAGAUAACACACAAAUCCAUGAAGUGUUCCAUAUUUGG